CUGGCGGCGGCCUAAACAUGCAAGUCGAGCGCGCCUUCGGGUGAGCGGCGGACGGGUUAGUAACGCGUGGGAACGUGCCCUUCUCUACGGAAUAGCCUCUGGAAACGGAGAGUAAUACCGUAUACGCCCUUUGGGGGAAAGAUUUAUCGGAGAAGGAUCGGCCCGCGUUAGAUUAGGUAGUUGGUGGGGUAACGGCCUACCAAGCCUACGAUCUAUAGCUGGUUUUAGAGGAUGAUCAGCAACACUGGGACUGAGACACGGCCCAGACUCCUACGGGAGGCAGCAGUGGGGAAUCUUAGACAAUGGGGGCAACCCUGAUCUAGCCAUGCCGCGUGAGUGAUGAAGGCCUUAGGGUCGUAAAGCUCUUUCGCCUGUGAUGAUAAUGACAGUAGCAGGUAAAGAAACCCCGGCUAACUCCGUGCCAGCAGCCGCGGUAAUACGGAGGGGGUUAGCGUUGUUCGGAAUUACUGGGCGUAAAGCGCGCGUAGGCGGAUUANAAAGUUGGGGGUGAAAUCCCGGGGCUCAACCUCGGAACUGCCUCCAAAACUACU
Molecule: ribosomal RNA, 551 nt
Filed under: uncultured bacterium
Lineage: Bacteria
Description: bacterial SSU rRNA
Rfam family: Bacterial small subunit ribosomal RNA
Source: RNAcentral